GGUCGGGUAGCUCAGUUGGUAGAGCGUCCGCCUGAAAAGCGGAAGGUCACCGGAUCGAUACCGGUCCCGACCA
Molecule: transfer RNA, 73 nt
Filed under: bacterium
Lineage: Bacteria
Description: tRNA-Phe
Rfam family: tRNA
About the family: Transfer RNA (tRNA) molecules are approximately 80 nucleotides in length. Their secondary structure includes four short double-helical elements and three loops (D, anti-codon, and T loops).
Source: RNAcentral